RNAcentral lists this long non-coding RNA (875 nucleotides) under Lupinus angustifolius (narrow-leaved blue lupine). RNAcentral describes it as "long non-coding RNA (LANG_LNC002360)". The record is from RNAcentral. Lineage: Eukaryota; Viridiplantae; Streptophyta; Magnoliopsida; Fabales; Fabaceae.
GGAAAAAUUAGAAAAAAGGGUAGAGUAGUGCAUAGGAGAGACAAAACGGUGAGUAUUAGCAGAAAGAGGAACAAAGAGAAAGUUGAAAAUGGCCUUUCACCGGCCUUUUCCCACUUUCCCUAAACCCAAAAAAAACCCAAUGCCUUCAAAUAAUCACUUCUUCAACCAAUCACUUUUCCCAUUUUAGACAUCCUCACACACAACAAAAACUAGACAUAGAGAGAGAGAGAGAGAGAAACAAUAAAACAACAUGUUCUGUUUUGCAGCAAUGGAUGAUGUUGUUGAUGAUGAUGAUGAUGACAUGGUACCUCAUGUUGUUGUUGUUCUUGUUCUGUCUUCAUCUUAUUGCAAUGACCCUUUUACCCUUGUUCAUCCAAAAGAGGUAUCUGUUCAUCUUCCCUUUGUAACACAAACCUUGUUCACUUCUAUUCAGAGAUGAAACAGAACAACAAUGAGAUUGAGAGAACCAUUCUACAAUGUAGCUUCCUCUCUCUUUCUUCUUUCUUCAUUUGCUUCAAAAAAGGCAGACAGGAUGGAGCCAGGCAUAUUAAUAUAUAUUAUAUAUAAAUAUCUAUAUCUAUAUAACUAUAUAUAUUUCCAAUUUCAUCCCCAUAUAUAAAUUUUGUUUCUUUUUUUUUGGGUUUUCAUCAAUAUCUGCUUUUUGCACCAAAAACAAAACCUUUUUGUUUUUUCCAUUUACCUGAGAUUGAAAAGAAGAAAGAGGAGCAUACAUAUUGGUCAUCAACCAUGGACUAUAAAUGCCAAGUAAUGGAAGAAGAAGAAGAACACAGUGUAUCAAGGAUUUUCAUGAUUUGUUGAGUUUCAAAUGUAUGUAUCCUUAAAGUUGUACUCUUUUUUUCAUUACUGAUCAUCAC